Molecule: ribosomal RNA, 759 nt
Filed under: Vibrio sp. a166
Lineage: Bacteria; Pseudomonadati; Pseudomonadota; Gammaproteobacteria; Vibrionales; Vibrionaceae
Description: bacterial SSU rRNA
Rfam family: Bacterial small subunit ribosomal RNA
Source: RNAcentral
CACACUGGACUGAGACACGGUCCAGACUCCUACGGGAGGCAGCAGUGGGGAAUAUUGCACAAUGGGCGAAAGCCUGAUGCAGCCAUGCCGCGUGUAUGAAGAAGGCCUUCGGGUUGUAAAGUACUUUCAGUUGUGAGGAAGGGUGUGUAGUUAAUAGCUGCGCAUCUUGACGUUAGCAACAGAAGAAGCACCGGCUAACUCCGUGCCAGCAGCCGCGGUAAUACGGAGGGUGCGAGCGUUAAUCGGAAUUACUGGGCGUAAAGCGCAUGCAGGUGGUUCAUUAAGUCAGAUGUGAAAGCCCGGGGCUCAACCUCGGAACUGCAUUUGAAACUGGUGAACUAGAGUACUGUAGAGGGGGGUAGAAUUUCAGGUGUAGCGGUGAAAUGCGUAGAGAUCUGAAGGAAUACCAGUGGCGAAGGCGGCCCCCUGGACAGAUACUGACACUCAGAUGCGAAAGCGUGGGGAGCAAACAGGAUUAGAUACCCUGGUAGUCCACGCCGUAAACGAUGUCUACUUGGAGGUUGUGGCCUUGAGCCGUGGCUUUCGGAGCUAACGCGUUAAGUAGACCGCCUGGGGAGUACGGUCGCAAGAUUAAAACUCAAAUGAAUUGACGGGGGCCCGCACAAGCGGUGGAGCAUGUGGUUUAAUUCGAUGCAACGCGAAGAACCUUACCUACUCUUGACAUCCAGAGAAGCCAGCGGAGACGCAGGUGUGCCUUCGGGAGCUCUGAGACAGGUGCUGCAUGGCUGUCGUCAGCUC